RNAcentral lists this ribosomal RNA (468 nucleotides) under uncultured bacterium. RNAcentral's name for it is "partial 16S ribosomal RNA". It matches the Rfam family "Bacterial small subunit ribosomal RNA", at positions 28 to 507 of the family's 1533-position model. The record is from RNAcentral.
GACGAACGCUGGCGGCGUGCUUAACACAUGCAAGUCGAACGGAAAGGCCCUGCUUUUGUGGGGUGCUCGAGUGGCGAACGGGUGAGUAACACGUGAGUAACCUGCCCUUGACUUUGGGAUAACUUCAGGAAACUGGGGCUAAUACCGGAUAGGAGCUCCUGCUGCAUGGUGGGGGUUGGAAAGUUUCGGCGGGUGGGGAUGGACGCGCGGCUUAUCAGCGUGUUGGUGGGGUAGUGGCUUACCAAGGCUUUGACGGGUAGCCGGCCUGAGAGGGUGACCGGCCACAUUGGGACUGAGAUACGGCCCAGAGUCCUACGGGAGGCAGCAGUGGGGAAUAUUGCACAAUGGGCGGAAGCCUGAUGCAGCAACGCCGCGUGCGGGAUGACGGCCUUCGGGUUGUAAACCGCUUUCGCCUGUGACGAAGCGUGAGUGACGGUAAUGGGUAAAGAAGCACCGGCUAACUACGUG